This is a long non-coding RNA of Cuculus canorus (common cuckoo), 7447 nucleotides long. RefSeq lists it as uncharacterized. The transcript has 4 exons. NCBI's taxonomy places the organism in Eukaryota, Metazoa, Chordata, Aves, Cuculiformes, Cuculidae. The record is from RefSeq and is a predicted model, not a curated record.
UCUGAGUGGUGAGUGCUUCAUCCCAUAUGUAGCAGAAUUCCAAAGUUUCUCAAUCAAGUGAUAAAGUACUACCAGCCCUUACUUAUUUAAAUGCUGAUAAUAUAUUUCACAGAUAACCAACUGUUAACUCAUUGCACCUGUUCGCUUGUGGUUGGGUUUAUCUGCUCAUAUAUAGAAAGUCCUGUUGUUCUAAGUCACACCGGAUUUGAGUCUGUCAAUUCCUCUUCAUGUAAAUGACCCUUUCCUGGAACAGCAAAGCAUUUAUGUCAAUGAGUGAUUGAAGUAUGUGCUUCUCUACACUUAGAAACACUGCUGUGGGUAACUGUAAGAGGUAGUCUAAGCAAGAAAUUUUCAUUACACGCAGUAAUCAGAUUCACUGAAAAUUGUUUUUUUAAGGUCAAAACUUGGACUGGGAGUCCUGUUGCAGAGCAUCAGCAGAGAUUGUCUGCAGUAUAAAUAUCGAAGAGCCUAGUUCCAAUAAAUCUGCAUGGCAGCCCAAAUUCUUCAGAAGCCCUAAGAAGCAGCCAGCCCAAUGACAGAAUACAAAACUGUGUGCUUCACUACCUGGCAUGUGGAAACUCCAGUUGUUCCCAUCCAGGAGAUCAGCAGAUGCAAAUACAAGCAAUUGAGACCAAGAGAAAUACUUCUGUUCACGUCAUCGACAUCUGACAGGACAUGACAAGUUCUUCUACCACCAUUCCAGCAGAACUCAAGAAGGUUUUUCUUUAUUGUAUAUUGAAACACAAGGGUACUACCUCAGUGCUGCAAGGUAGUAUACAUCCUGUACUGGCCCGUGACAAUGCAAAAAGGAUCCAACGGCAUUGAGCUCCUGCAGUGGUGAGGCAAAAACCGUGGAGCAAAGAUGGAGAACUAGAGCAUCUCCACUUCUACCUGUGAGUGAACAAGCAGCUCUGAAGGUCCUACAAGGUGAGUUUGCAUAUUAAGCUGAGAAGUGACGGUGAGCAUGCUUAUCCAUUUUAGAACUGUUGUACAGCUUUGUGAUCACCAAAAAAGGCACAGCCUCAGCAGGGAUCCUGUCACAUCAUCACAUGCAAGCAGGACAAAACAAUUAUAAAGCCCAGGACAAUAGAAGAAGAUCAGUUUCGAGAACACCUGAGGAUCCAUGGGACCUGAUGAGAUGCGUCCCAGAGUCCUGAGGGAAUUGGCAGAUGUGGUUGCCAAACCACUCUCCAUGAUAUUUGAAAAGUCCUGGCAGCCAGGAGAAGUCCCUGGUGACUGGAAGAAGGGUAACAUUGUGCCAAUUUUUAAAAAGGGUAGAAAAGAACCCUGGGAACUACCGACCUGUCAGCCUCAACUCUGUGCCUGGGAAGAUCAUGGAACAGAUCCUCCAAGAAGCUAUGUUAAAACACAUGGAGGGCAGGGAGGUGAUUAAUGGCAGCCAGUAUGGCUUCACCCGGGGCAAGUCCUGUCUGACCAACUUGGUGGCUUUCCAUGAUGGGGUAACCACAGCAGUGAACACGGGUAAACCGAUGGAUGUGAUCUGUGUAGACUUCUGUAAAUCCUUCGACACAGUCUGCCACAACAUCCUUCUUUCUGAAUUGGAGAGAUAUGGAUUUGAUGGGUGGACAGUGAAGCUAAGUGUAAGGUCCUACACCUGGGUCAGAGCAAUCCCAGUUUUCAGUACAGGAUGGGGGAUGACAUGCUUGAGAACAGCCCUGCAGAGAAGGACUUGGGAAUACUGGUUAAUGAGAAGCUUGGCAUGAGCCGGCAAUAUGCACUCGCAGCCCAGAAGACCAACUGUAUCCUGGGCAACAUCAAAAGAAGUGUGGCCAGCAAGUCGAGGGGAUUCUGCCACUCUAUUCCUCUCUUGUGAGACCUCAUCUGGGAUACUGUGUCCAGUUCUGGAAUCCUCAACAUAAGAAGGAUAUGGAGGUGUUGGAAUAGGUCCAGAGGAGGGCUACAAAAAUGAUUGGAGGGCUGGAGCCCCUUCCCUACAAGGCCAGGCUCAGAGAGUUGGGAUUGUUCAGCCUGGAGAAGAGAAAGUUCAGAGGAGAUCUUAUGGCAACCUUCCAGUACCCAAAGGGGGCCUACAGAAAAGCUGAGGAGGGGCUAUUCAUAAAGGCUUAUAGGGAUAGGAUGAGCGGGAAUGGGUAUAAACUAGAGAGGGGCAGAUUUAGGCUGGACGUCAGGAAGAAUUUCUUCAUUGUGAGAGUGGUGAGGCACUGGCACAGGUUUCCCAGGGAGGUUGUGGAUGUCCCAUCCCUGGAGGUGUUCAAGGCCAGGUUGGAUGGGGCCUUGGGCAGCCUGAUCCAGUGGGAUGUCCCUGACCAUGGCAGGGGGGUUGUAACUAGAUGAUCUUUAAGGUCCCUUCCAAGCCAAACUAUUCUAUGAUUCUAUGAAUUUAGGUCUUGGGAUUUGGGAAGCGUCUGGAUGAAGCUGGAUGUUCGUAGCUGUAUCCUAGCAUAACCUCCAAUUAAGGGUGCUGGAGAGACCUUCCCUGAGCCUGUAAGCACCAAGGCUGCAAUUGCAUGCAUGACGUCACUUUGAAAAGCUUUCAGUCAGUGGGAUUUUGUGGAGACUUAAUUCCCUAAACCCUUUUUACCUCAUGUGUAGAAACUUGACUGCACUUCAGAAACAAACCCUUCAAAAAGAUGCACAUUUUUGUGUGUACAGCAAAUUUGAAUCAUUUGACUUUUCUUAUAGCUCCUGGGCAGCUCUAAGAACAGGCUUUUGAGAUGAUAUGCAGUCAUAGAGAUGAAAGGCUCCCUUCAUUUCCUGUUUGAAGGUAUCCUCAAGGGAACAAACACCUUCCAACUGAAAGAAAAUAAUGUCAGCACCUUGACUUUCUGCACUUCACAAGAAGAAUAAGUGCAUAGCAGCUUGAUCCAACAUCAAAGAUGAUUUACCAGAGUCAUUACUCACCAUCAUAUUUCUGAUGAAUAUGAAGAACUGCGUUGAAAUCAAAGGAAGGUGCACUUUGUGUUCCUGUGGCAACAGUUUCCUCUGCUAUGCCUGCCAAAACUCUCACCUCUGUUUGCCAGCCAGGUGACUGGAGGCGUAACUAUUUACCUGUACAUGAAAGCUUUCUCUGUUCAUGUGGUCAUUGCAUCUACCACCACUUGGCCUCAACUGCAGAAACUUCUUCAGCUGAUACAGUAAACACCUACUUUUACGGCCUUCUGUCAACUUCAGCUCUGGAAGCAGUGCAGAAGUGAAUAUGGGUGAAUGUGUUUUACAAAAGUCUUUAAGAUGCCUUUUGACUCAAUUUCUCUGUCUUAGAAAUCUUCCCCAAACAGCAUUCUGUGUUGGCUUACCCCAUAAACCUCAUGGAUGACCUCACAUCCAAAAUGUAGAAUGAAAGCUACAAGGUGUUUCUUUGCCAGUACCGGUGUCUCUGAGAGUGUCUUACACGGUGUUGAUCUCACUGUUGCCAGUUCAUAUAUGUGAUGUAAAAAUCCUCUACCUCAACAGCAGAUUUUGCCAUUUGUCUUUGUGCUGCUACAAAGCGAAGGAAAUUAAAUUCUUCAUGAUGAGAAGAGUUAAGCACUGGAACUAGUUUUGCAGAAUGGCUGCGGAUCUAGAUCCUUUGAGAUUUUACACAAUAAGUCCCUCGGCAAUCCAAUUUAACUUUGCAGUUAGACCUGCUCUGAGGAGCAGGCUGCACUAAGUGCCACCCAAAUGCCCCCUCCAAGCUAGAUUGUUCUAUGAUUCCAAUUUUUGAAGCAGUAUUUGCCAACUGAAGUUUGCAAGUGUGAUUCCUGCUAUGCAAGAGGAGCAAAGUAUUAAUUUUAGCAUGCGGUAUUCUUCACAUGAUAUUCACUGUGACCUCAGUAUUUCUUUGCUGCUUCAGUACUAUCCCAAAUAACAAUCAUCAGAGUUAGGCAGUUUUAAUAGGCCCAAAUAUCUCUGAAACUCAAAGGAACCCAACCACACAGUGACAAUUACAGCAAGUAAAGUUGCCAUCAAAACUCACUUUUGUAAAAUUUUGCAAGAAUUAUUUAAUCCUAAGAAAGUUCAAGAAAAGGGCUGCUAGCCACAGCCUGUAAGGAGUGAACUCUUAACUGUCUGAAGGAGCGUGAAGUUCUCCAUAGAAAAUGGAAAUUUCUAACUUUGGAAUGCAGUUACAUUUAUGAAGAAAUGAAAAUAAUGUAGUUCAGUCCUUGUAAUUGCUUAGAUCCAUUUUUGUGCAUAGUGAGAAAAUAAUUUUGUGACACUAAAUGUGAUUGUCUGAGAAUAGGGUACAUUUUUUUCCACAAGCAGUAGCUAACAGUGUAGCCAUGUUUAAUGGAAGCCAGAACCCAUAGGAAACAGUGUCAAAACAACCUUUCCUGAAGAGUAGAACAUCAUUACCACUCCUUCUUUUAUUUCUGGUAGCUAUCAAAUUAUUUCGCUUACACAAAGCCAGUUCUUGGCCUGUAAAGUUUAUACCCUGAGGAAAAAUCACACACAAAGUACGGGACAUAUGACUAAAGACUAAAAUCACUUGUAUUUUAAUAUUGAACUUUUGACAUUAAAGAGUUAGUCUGUCAAUGAAUUAAUUGACAACACAUAUUUAAAGUCACAGUAGGAACACUGUUCUUCUGGACAAGGGUAUUGGAAUAAUGAUUUACUGCAUAAACUCACCUAAAUGAGUCUAAACUUGCAUUAUAUUCAUCCUUCUUGGAUACAAGCACACCUUUCAGUUAUACUGUACAGAAUAUAUUCCUUUGCAGUUCACUACGCAGGCUUAAUUUUCUAAUAGAGCAUCAUAGCUGACUGAGAUACCUCUUGGCUAAGCUUGAUAUUCCUACCAGACAAUCUGUGAAUAAAAGGGCACUGAGUUUGUUGUUAGUUCUAAUACUCACCAGGGCAACCCUUAAUUUGGGGGUUGUAUAAUGAAUGGAUAAAUUGACAAAAUCGUCCUGAAGUUGACCUAACAACUGCAGGUAAAAUACAGUUGGUACCCGAAUUCUCUUGCAUGUGAAAUUCCACUUGCUUUUCCUAGAGUCCAAAUGAUUAAGAUCAAAAUCUUUUUCCCAUCUGGGACAGCAGUUUUCUUUUUAAACAAACUAGCUGGAUCUCUUUAGGCCAAUUUCAUAACCUGUUUAUGAAAAUGUUCAGCAAGUCCUUGGAUUCUAAAAAACAGCAUUUUUCAAACGUGUUUGGACAAAGUAAAUAUUUUAUUACUGAAGAACUCCUGGCAAAGAAAAGAUGUUUUAGCUUUCCGUUUGCCUUGUUCCACUUAGUUGCUUAUAACGAGUUUCUUAGCUGUUAAGUCUAUUGACAUAUCUUUUCAAGGAACGUUUCUCUAUGUCACAUUAGUGACAUCAGAUUAGAUACCCUCCCUAGUGCAUUUGACUUAAAAAGCUGAGAAACAAUGUUUUUUACAGUCACUGGGUAAAACACCUCAUGGCACUGUGAAAAACAAGGGAGUAAUGCAAUUACUGCUCUGCUUUGCCCCACUGCGAGGGAGAUCUGUCAAAGUAUGAGGAAACAGGAGGAACGAGGAAGGAAGUGUGUUAGCAACCUUCUCCCAUUAACUCCUCCAUCCUCUUGCCAGUCCCGAUGCUGGCCUACGUACACCCGUAAGGUGUAAGAAAGACUGAAUGAUGACAGGGCUCAGCAGGGGAGCAGGAAACGGGAGAAAAUGGAGCCUAAGACGUAUUUCUAUGAAUAAGGGGUGCACUGCUUGGGGGGGGGUCUAUUGCCUGUGACUGUGUGCCUUUGCAGUUGCCUCAUUCCUCACCGGAGAGGACAGUGCAGUGACACUGAGCAUGCCUCAGCACCACCACAGGACCCAUGUAGAAAGGAGGACCAUUUCCCCAAUCCCAGGUCAUAUGGGGGCUGCGUGCAACUCUACUUGAUAUUCUUGACCUCAGCUGAAAGCAGCUUUGAAGAGUGCAGUCCUAGUGUCAUCAUAAGGACCAGGAAAGUUAAUUUGCUUAAAUUGUAAUAGUUCCUAUUUGUAUUAAGCAGGUAUUUGUACAUAGGCUUCUCUGCAAUAUGGAGGAGCAGCCUGUGUAUGUCACCAAACCCACCCGCCAAGCUUCUUUGUAAUGGGUGAUGUCUCUGAUGUUGGAAAUUCUACUCUACAGGUGUUAUGCUGUAAUAAAAUCUUGUUUUCUAAAUAGACAUAUUGAACUGCUCUCAAAUCCAUUUUCCACUUACAUUGAAUUUACUACCCUUUUCAUUUCAUUGAAUUUUAUCUUGUUGGAGCAUUCAAAAGUUAAUGUGUUUCUGAAGGAUUUUAAAUGGUUGUUGGACACCUUUUCCAAUGAAUCAGAGAUGAACAUGGAGUGAUAAAACUGCCUUUGGAGAAGUGAAAUUCUGAAUGACCUCAGGUGAAUACUUCAGCAAUGUUUGUUUUCAAAUGAGUGAAAACAGUGGUUACUUUCUGUAAUGCAAUGAUUUCCAGCUGUGAAUCUGACACACAGAACAAAGAGCUGAGAUAUCCUUAGACAAAUUAAUGCUGCUUCCAGAAGUGCUUUCCAAGUAAAGAGGUUUUGGGAGGGUGUUAUAUGUAUACUGAAAGUAUUUGUAUUGUAAUUGGAUUAUCUGUUUGUGCAGUGCUUAUAGGUCAUUUCCCCUGGAAACGUAAUGCAUUAGAAAAAAAGAUAUGUUACAAACAACAGUAGCAAAAUGUGCUCUUUAGCAAUUAGUAGCUGCAAGAGAUGAAAUAUUUGCUACGCUGAAGAUCACUGAGAUCAGUAUUUCACUAAGUUUUUUGUAUCCUAAGUCAACCACAAGACUUACUUAAAAUGACACAAUCAUAAGGGUCAUAUCUCAACUACUCUGACUGCAUUAUAAGUUUAACUGGUCUAUAGGUUGCUGUGCACAUAUUACACUUACAUCAGAAGACUCUAGCUGAUCUAGGUGAGAAGGUGGAAGCAACCUGCCCAAAGUAGCUUGAAACCUUUUUAUCCUGCUGAGAAUAUUAUGUGGAUCUAGCUUGGGCACGACUGCACACCACUAUAUGUGCAAGGUGAAAACAAGAGAGGAGCAUCUCCAGAGGGCUGGCAAAGUCUCACUGUGACAGGAGGAAAAUUGCUCUUUGUGAGUCCUGUGACUCCACUGAUACCAAAGGAAAAAAUCUCUUUAAAAAAGACAUAGAUAUUUUUGAAAUAUAUUUAUGUUUUAAAUUAAAAAUUACACUAGACAAAAUACAUUGGUGCCACUAUUAAUAACACAGUCUUAUUCAGUGAGAGUUCAGGUGAGCAGGCAAUGAUUUAUGAAAAUACCCUGUGGUCAGCCUGCUGACAACUUUGUCUAAAGAACUCCAACAGAAGUUGGUUUUCAGUGUAUUAGCCUUUUGUAAUCCUAGCCCAUGUAAUUGAUGUAGGGGCAGCACUGAAAAACUGAUGUGAUUGAUCUUAGUAUAGCUUAUCCCUGCAUCACCAACAUCAGAGGCAAACCUUAAUGACGGAUUUCUAGGGCCGCACAAACCGCUACACACCUAACUUCUUCUAAGUUAGACCCUUCCAUUUUUCUAUAUAUAUAUGAUAUGUAG